This 73-nucleotide transfer RNA is filed under the name Eubacteriales bacterium. Its description in RNAcentral is "tRNA-Ile". It matches the Rfam family "tRNA". Rfam says of the family: Transfer RNA (tRNA) molecules are approximately 80 nucleotides in length. Lineage: Bacteria; Bacillati; Bacillota; Clostridia; Eubacteriales. The record is from RNAcentral.
GCGCCGUUAGUUCAAUGGUUAGAGCAACUGCCUCAUAAGCAGUAAGUUAUAGGUUCAAGUCCUAUACGGCGCA